This 253-nucleotide ribosomal RNA is filed under the name uncultured bacterium. Its description in RNAcentral is "partial 16S ribosomal RNA". It matches the Rfam family "Bacterial small subunit ribosomal RNA", at positions 524 to 776 of the family's 1533-position model. The record is from RNAcentral.
UACGUAGGUGACAAGCGUUGUCCGGAUUUACUGGGCGUAAAGAGCGCGCAGGCGGUCGAUCAAGUCGAGUGUGAAAGCCCCCGGCUCAACUGGGGAGGGUCAUUCGAUACUGAUCGACUCGAAGGCAGGAGAGGGUAGUGGAAUUCCCGGUGUAGUGGUGAAAUGCGUAGAUAUCGGGAGGAACACCAGUGGCGAAGGCGACUACCUGGCCUGUUCUUGACGCUGAGGCGCGAAAGCUAUGGGAGCAAACGGG